GAUGAACGCUAGCGGCAGGCUUAAUACAUGCAAGUCGUGGGGCAGCAUGAGUAGCAAUACUUGAUGGCGACCGGCAAACGGGUGAGGAACACGUACACAACCUUCCUUCAAGCGGGGAAUAGCCCAGAGAAAUUUGGAUUAAUACCCCAUAAUAUAUUUGAUAAGGCAUCUUAUUAAUAUUAAAGCUUCGGCACUUGAUGAUGGGUGUGCGGCUGAUUAGAUAGUUGGCGGGGUAACGGCCCACCAAGUCUACGAUCAGUAGCUGAUGUGAGAGCAUGAUCAGCCACACGGGCACUGAGACACGGGCCCGACUCCUACGGGAGGCAGCAGUAAGGAAUAUUGGACAAUGGACGAAAGUCUGAUCCAGCCAUGCCGCGUGAAGGAUUAAGGUCCUC
RNAcentral lists this ribosomal RNA (395 nucleotides) under uncultured bacterium. Its description in RNAcentral is "bacterial SSU rRNA". It matches the Rfam family "Bacterial small subunit ribosomal RNA", at positions 28 to 419 of the family's 1533-position model. The record is from RNAcentral.